GCCUGGAUAGCUCAGUCGGUUAAGCGUCUGACUUUGGCUCAGGCCAUGAUAUCGCGGUUCAUGGGUUCAAGCCCCGUGUCGGGCU
This 85-nucleotide transfer RNA is filed under the name Felis catus (domestic cat). It matches the Rfam family "tRNA". From Rfam's summary of the family: Transfer RNA (tRNA) molecules are approximately 80 nucleotides in length. Their secondary structure includes four short double-helical elements and three loops (D, anti-codon, and T loops). The record is from Rfam by way of RNAcentral. Lineage: Eukaryota; Metazoa; Chordata; Mammalia; Carnivora; Felidae.